RNAcentral lists this ribosomal RNA (324 nucleotides) under Clostridioides difficile. RNAcentral describes it as "partial 23S ribosomal RNA". It matches the Rfam family "Bacterial large subunit ribosomal RNA", at positions 2598 to 2925 of the family's 2925-position model. Lineage: Bacteria; Bacillati; Bacillota; Clostridia; Peptostreptococcales; Peptostreptococcaceae. The record is from RNAcentral.
ACGCGAGCUGGGUUCAGAACGUCGUGAGACAGUUCGGUCCCUAUCCGUCGCAGGCGUAGGAAAUUUGAGAAGACCUGUCCUUAGUACGAGAGGACCGGGAUGGACGUACCUCUGGUGUACCAGUUGUCCUGCCAAGGGCAUGGCUGGGUAGCUAUGUGCGGAAUGGAUAAGCGCUGAAAGCAUCUAAGCGCGAAGCCAACUUCAAGAUAAGAUUUCCCACCGCAAGGGUAAGACCCCAGAAAGACUAUCUGGUUGAUAGGUCGAAGGUGUAAGUGCAGCAAUGUAUUUAGCUUAUCGAUACUAAUAGGUCGAGGACUUGACCAA